This 801-nucleotide long non-coding RNA is filed under the name Mus musculus (house mouse). RNAcentral describes it as "long non-coding RNA chr10:39007949-39008750". The record is from RNAcentral. Lineage: Eukaryota; Metazoa; Chordata; Mammalia; Rodentia; Muridae.
GUUCCAUGAUAGCCAAAGUGUGACACAGAGUCAAAAAGUCUCAAGGUCUAAAGAAUGCUAAGCAUGAAUAGCUUGAUGGAGUUCCCUGAUGCUUUAUACCCAUCAGUACCAGGAAUUGAAUGCUGAUACUAGAUUCUCUGUACAAUGUCCAUCAUUGCCUCCCAACACUUGUCCCUUCUCUUACAUUCCCUACCUUAUUGAAAGCAUCAUUGUAUCAGAAGGCCCCAUUGUCCUCAUCAACUUCCAUUUCUUCCCCAACAUUAAUCUGAUCCAAGAUCCCAACAACUCAAACUGUUAAGUGGCUUCCUCUCUUCUAUGACUUACCACUACCUCAUUUUAGGACCACACCACCCCUCCAUGACCUCUGCCUCAGCCUCCCAACCACACACUGUGUUCCCUCUAAUCUGUCACCUGACGACAAUGGAACUGUCUUUCAAAAGCUCAAGUCAAAGAAUCCCUCUUUUUAAGAUGCUCCAAAGGUUCCUGCCUCCAGCCACGCUGAACACACUAUUACCUAAGCCAUCUCUGUGCUUACAGAUUGUCCCCAUGGGAGACUUCUUGAAGGACAACUUCAAAGCCUGGUUCAAGUAUCAGCAUCUCCACUAAACCUUCACAUUCCUUGGUCAUAUCCCUGAACGCACAAGGCUGGUCUUUGUUUUGUUUUCAUGAUCCUGAAAUAAAGAAACUGGGUCUUCCUCAUCUUAAUACCAGUUUCAGCUCUUUAUCUGUCAUGAGUCAGCUUAAUCCAGGCUUGUCAUCGGGAUGAAUAUAUUAGAUACUGAAAAGAUGAUGACUUCAAUG